CCUACGGGGGGCUGCAGUGGGGAAUAUUGGACAAUGGGGGCAACCCUGAUCCAGCCAUACCGCGUGUGUGAAGAAGGCCUUAGGGUUGUAAAGCACUUUCAGUGGGGAGGAAAAGUUGCCGGCGAAUACCCGGCGACCGUGACGCUACCUGCAGAAGAAGCACCGGCAAACUCCGUGCCAGCAGCCGCGGUAAUACGGAGGGUGCGAGCGUUAAGCGGAAUUACCGUGGGUGAAUCGGGCGUAUGGGGGUGAAAGCCCUGGGCUCAACCUGGGAACUGCAUCCAGAACUGCCAGGCUAGAGUAUGGUAGAGGACAGUGGAAUUUCCGGUGUAGCGGUGAAAUGCGUAGAGAUCGGAAGGAACACCAGUGGCGAAGGCGACUGUCUGGACCAAUACUGACGCUGAGGUGCGAAAGCGUGGGGAGCAAACAGGAUUAGAUACCCCUGUAGUC
This 450-nucleotide ribosomal RNA is filed under the name uncultured bacterium. RNAcentral describes it as "partial 16S ribosomal RNA". It matches the Rfam family "Bacterial small subunit ribosomal RNA", at positions 338 to 795 of the family's 1533-position model. The record is from RNAcentral.